Molecule: long non-coding RNA, 463 nt
Filed under: Rattus norvegicus (Norway rat)
Lineage: Eukaryota; Metazoa; Chordata; Mammalia; Rodentia; Muridae
Description: long non-coding RNA NONRATT023826
Source: RNAcentral
GAUAAACCUUUCAAAUGCAGUGAAUGUGACAAACGCUUUACUGAAAAAGGCCCUCUGAGAAACCAUAUGGGAAUUCAUACAGGAGAGAAACCUUUCAAAUGCAGUAAAUGUGACAAAUGCUUUGUCUACAAAUGCAGUCUGAGGAUGCAUCAGAGAAUUCAUACGGGAGAGAAACCUUACAAAUGUAGUCAAUGUGACACAUAUUUUGCCCGACAAUACUGGCUUAUGUGUCAUCAAAUAAGCCAUACAAGAGAGAAACCUUACAAAUGUAACCAAUGUGACAAAUCCUUUGCCCAAGUAUCCUAUCUUAGUAUUCAUCAGAGAAUUCAUACAGGAGAUAAACCAUACAAAUGCAGUGAAUGUGACAAAUGCUUUCGCUACAAAGGCAGUCUGAAAAUUCAUCAGAGAAUUCAUUCAGGAGAGAAACCAUACAAAUGCAGUGAAUGUGAUAAAUACUUUAGCC